RNAcentral lists this long non-coding RNA (279 nucleotides) under Physcomitrium patens. RNAcentral describes it as "long non-coding RNA (PPAT_LNC014760)". The record is from RNAcentral. Lineage: Eukaryota; Viridiplantae; Streptophyta; Bryopsida; Funariales; Funariaceae.
AGGGGGGAUAAGAUUCAAGCCUAGUUUGGAAUUUUGAAGGCCACUUUUGGAAUUUUCAUCUUUUUCUUUUGAAAUUUUGAAGAAAUUUGUAUCUUAUUAUUAAAUUUCCAACAAGCUAUUUCAUACAAGAAGAAGAGCUAUAAUGAGGGAGAUUCACAUAAAUUUGUGGGAAGGAGGUUGCUGGAAUUUUUAGGCGGCCAAAUUCAAGACUGGUUUGGUACUUUCUAUGCCAUUUAUUGGAUUUUUUUAUUUUGAAAAUAUAGAAGAAGCUAGAGUUCA